This is a long non-coding RNA of Mastomys coucha (southern multimammate mouse), 391 nucleotides long. RefSeq lists it as uncharacterized. The transcript has 4 exons. The record is from RefSeq and is a predicted model, not a curated record. NCBI's taxonomy places the organism in Eukaryota, Metazoa, Chordata, Mammalia, Rodentia, Muridae.
UUCGGGCUCCGCAGGCCUCGCCGGCCACGCAGGCCUCGCCCGCGCCGACUGGAGACCCCUUCGGCUCUUUUAUUCUGCAGUUGUGGCGUCGUUAGCGUUUAAGCUUGUUUGUGUGGGCUCUGGUGCAGCUGCCCCUUCUGCUGUGUGGGUUCUGUGCUGUGUUACUCUUUGGCAGAUGCCUAACAAAAGUGGCUGAUGUGGGCGCUCCUCAGAAGGCAGUGUGCUUGGCAGGCAGCUUCCACCUCCAGUAGGCACGCACAGCAGGUAAAAUUCUGUGUUUAGGAAAAACAAAUCUGGCUGGAGAGAUGGCUCAGUGGUUAAGAGCACUGACUGCUCUUCCAAGGGUCCUGAGUUCAAAUCCCAGCAACCACAUGGUGGCUCACAACCAUCC